RNAcentral lists this ribosomal RNA (305 nucleotides) under uncultured bacterium. Its description in RNAcentral is "bacterial SSU rRNA". It matches the Rfam family "Bacterial small subunit ribosomal RNA", at positions 333 to 653 of the family's 1533-position model. The record is from RNAcentral.
UCGUUCCUACGGGACGCAGCAGUGGGGAAUAUUGCACAAUGGGGGGAACCCUGAUGCAGCGACGCCGCGUGGGCGAGGAAGUAUUUCGGUAUGUAAAGCCCUAUCGGCAGGGAAGAAGAAAUGACGGUACCUGAAUAAGAAGCACCGGCUAAAUACGUGCCAGCAGCCGCGGUAAUACGUAUGGUGCAAGCGUUAUCCGGAAUUACUGGGUGUAAAGGGAGCGUAGGCGGCUGUGCAAGUCUGGAGUGAAAGGCGGGGGCCCAACCCCCGGACUGCUCUGGAAACUGUAUGGCUGGAGUGCAGGG